Molecule: non-coding RNA, 54 nt
Organism: Salmo salar (Atlantic salmon)
Lineage: Eukaryota; Metazoa; Chordata; Actinopteri; Salmoniformes; Salmonidae
Source: Rfam
ACUCACUAAUACUGUAAGUUGCUCUGGAUAAGAGCGUCUGCUAAAUGACUAAAA